Molecule: ribosomal RNA, 433 nt
Filed under: uncultured bacterium
Lineage: Bacteria
Description: partial 16S ribosomal RNA
Rfam family: Bacterial small subunit ribosomal RNA
Source: RNAcentral
GACGAACGCUGGCGGCAGGCCUAACACAUGCAAGUCGAGCGAGGACUUCGGUUCUAGCGGCGGACGGGUGAGUAACGCGUGGGAAUGUGCCCUUCUCUACGGAAUAGCCCUGGGAAACUGGGAGUAAUACCGUAUACGCCCUAUUGGGGAAAGAUUUAUCGGGGAAGGAUCAGCCCGCGUUGGAUUAGGUAGUUGGUGGGGUAAUGGCCUACCAAGCCGACGAUCCAUAGCUGGUUUGAGAGGAUGAUCAGCCACACUGGGACUGAGACACGGCCCAGACUCCUACGGGAGGCAGCAGUGGGGAAUCUUAGACAAUGGGGGCAACCCUGAUCUAGCCAUGCCGCGUGAGUGAUGAAGGCCGUAGGGUUGUAAAGCUCUUUCAGCUGGGAAGAUAAUGACGGUACCAGCAGAAGAAGCCCCGGCUAACUCCGUG